This is a long non-coding RNA of Bombus huntii, 7405 nucleotides long. RefSeq lists it as uncharacterized. The transcript has 3 exons. Lineage: Eukaryota; Metazoa; Arthropoda; Insecta; Hymenoptera; Apidae. The record is from RefSeq and is a predicted model, not a curated record.
UGGCGAAAUAACGCGAAAGUCAUAGGCAAAAGAAUUAAAUCGACCUGACAAACGUAUAAGAAAAGUCCAAUGAAUACUUCGACCCCUUUCUGCGCGUAUAAUACGCUCCUCGACGAUAAUAAUCUCUGAACCGAGGCACAGAAUGACCGAUCCAGAGACCACCCAGUUUGACUGUGAGUAGAAGACGGAUCGAGAUCGACGCUGAUUGAACUCAAUUAACGCGUUAACGCGCGACCAACGAACAGAUCAAAGGGACAACGGACCGCGAACUCGAAGGGAACUGGAAAUGGGCCGAUCGAAACGGGACAUGCAGUAGUCCUGGGGGAUGGGAGGGGUUGCUAGGUACCGGUAAGGCUAGCAUAUACGAGUACAGAACGUGGUAGUGCACCUGACCCAUAUAGCGACGCGGUAUUGAUCGACCUAAUUCUGUAAAGCCGGUCGCCUCCCCGCCCGCAGAGAUUGCCGCCCGAAAUUACGUAAGCUAACCUACUGACUCACUGCACCCGUUGCCGCAGCAGAAACUUUCAGUUGUUACGCCCGUGUCUUUCGACUACCAAACUCUAACACACCCUCUUUGCUAUUCUCAAGUUUGGGUCACAUUCGAUGGAAAAUCGACGAGUCAUCGAGAAGCACGUGUGUAAGGCGGAAAAGAAUGGGAGAAUUUUUAGGCAAUGUUGGAGAAUUUCGGGGUUUCUGCUAUACAAUGAGGUUGUCGAGGGGAAUCGAACGUCUCUGAUACGCCCUGUUCGUUGAAUCUCUCGAAAGAUUAAAGAAUGAUGGAAUAGUCUCUUCCUACGUAUCAUUCCCGUGUUUAACAAAAUAAAUACUUUUGAUAAUAAGGAACGUCGACAGGGAUCGAGACUUUAAAGGUUGGCGACGAUUUCAUUCGCUUUUAUUGUCAGAAGCUAUAAAUUCUGCUACGUGGGUGCAAAGAAAAUAGAUACACCGUUCGGUAUAAUUAGAUGAUCAGCUGGUCGAAGCAUCCAUUGCUUCGAACAUUCCAGCACGCUAACCCACCCAUUACAAUUUAUCACUACUAGUACUACUAUCUCCAUUCAUUCGUUCAAGAAGACAAUUACAAUCGCGACGCGGGCGAACACUUUUCCAUAAUGUCGUCGGUAUGACAUUAAAGAAUCGUACUAGUUAAGGAUUACAAACGUAGCGAACUAGUUCAUGUGCUUGGUAAAGUCACUUGCUUCCGUUGUAUAGAAAUGUCACCGUAUUAAAUCGUUUCAAUCACUUGUACACGAAAUACUCCAUACGAAUAGAGUAAAUUCCCGAAAAGUUGACUUGAAACACUUUCAACGGCGGAAUAACUUAGCUAAGGGGGAGAACGCUGUGGCGGGCAAUCAGGAAACCAUAAAAUCUGCUAAGUGAAGUAUUCAUUGGCGAACGUUCACUAGGAAGCAGACAACGUGCAUAAGCGUCGAAUAAUUUAAUCUCGUUUGCGCUAAAGACCGCGAUUGCGGGCGAACCGUGGCCGUCGAACGAGAAUCAGCGCGAACGGAUUGCCUUCCGAGCGCGAGAUCGCGAAGUUCAUGAAUUAAAAGCCGGGCAAUCGAUAGCCGUGGAAUAAUUGAAUCUCAUUGUACGCCGAAGACGAUGAUAAUCGCCGCGAAUACAGAACGAUCCAUCGUGAAAAAAAGAUCGAGUAUCUGUAUUACGUUUUUAAUAAGCCUGAACGCGUUAGUGAUGGCUUCACAGUGAAAAAAAAGCAGCUACCAUUUAUCCUCGAGUAUAAUUAAAACGGAGCUUCGAGCGGUAUUUGUAAUUUGUAUCUAUGUCUUAAUCUGCCAUAAAUUUUUUUAUUUAUUUCUGCUAAUUUUUUAAUUCUUCUUCUCGUGUUGGUUUACCAAUGUUUCUUUCGGUAUUCGUUACUUCCUAUUCUCUUUCGCUACUAACGUUACUUUAAGAAAAGAACGUAGCGAACGAAUAUUAGCUUUUAAAAAAAUGUGAAUAGCUGAACACAGAACGGUCCAUCGAAAAGAUCAACAUCUCCAUUUUCAUCAUAAAAAUCACAAUUUAUCCCUGUCACGUUGUUAUUCCCCCUCCUACAUCGUGCUGUCAGAACAGGAAAUUAAAAACCGCGUGUGUGCGCUAAACAAAUGUAAAAGCGAACUAGAAAUAAAAUUUCAACUGCGGCGAUAGAAAAUUCCGCGAAAUUCGAUCGAAACUCGACAUUUACAGAAAAAUCACGAUCUAUUCGUACGUGCCACUAUGAUUCCUCCGUUUCGACGUUUCCCUUAACAGAAAAUUCUUCAACUUCUAUUCGCCAACCAGAAAAUAAAAUGUGAAAAGGAAACCCAAACUACGCGAAACUAAAAUUAAAGCUUCGACGAUCACCUGCAAACCACGUGACCAACGAAAGUAUAAUAAGUAGUUGCCAUUGGAAGAGAAUCGCUUGCAGUUUCGUUACGAGAGAAGAGCAUGAUCUUGCUCAAUUUACGAACGUCGAGUUGCAGUUGCAAUUGCGCUACAGAGUAGCAGAAUGCCCUCGCGUGCAUGAUUGCGUGUGAAAGGCCAAACAGGGCCAUCGUUCGUUCUACGAAACGAGGCUAGACGGUGAAAGAAGAAGAAGAAGAAGAAGAAGAAGAAGAAGAAGGAGAAGAAGAAAAAGAAGAAGCUUCGGAUGAGUCGGGUUAUUCGUCUUCCAUGAGCAAUCUUCGUUGUAAUUCGAAAAUUUUAUCGAUGAGAAGCCAUGCAUCAUAAAGUUGCUUCUUGUUAGGAAUAGUUCGAGUGAAAGGAAUUUUCGAGGAUGACGUUAUUGUGAACGGAGAAGGGUAGGUCGGUCUACGGGGAAUUUUAAUUCAGUCACGGAAUAUUUUCGUUGCAUUCUACUACACUUUCUCGAUGAAAGAAACGAUUAACAGGAAUUGAUCUGUUUCGAAGUUUAUAAAUGCGAUUACGACAAUGGAAUUUUUCAAAAUUAUCCUCGUUUGUAAAGAAAUAUCAAGAAACGCUAGCACAGGAGGAAAAUAUCGGGUAUUUGACCGAAGAUAGAAUGUCGGAAGAGUAUGGAAAAUUCCACCUAAAUCGAAGACCUAAUAACCUAAUAACCUAAUAACCUCGUAACCUCUGCUAGUAGUUAUCCCUUUGACCCAUUAAGUUCAUGUACAUUCUCAUAAAUCGUUCUCUCUAAACUUGAAUACAAUAUCACAAUCUAUAAAACGACGACAGUUAGCUUGGCGAAAUUGUUAGUUCGUCGUCUAUCGACGACGGCCGUGUUUAGAGAAUUAAGCAAAAAGCUUCGAUCGACUAGAAACACCAUCGCUAUGUUGAUGCGUCAGGCCCAAUGUCUUGUACGCACGUCGAACAGCGAGCAGCAAAACAAAAGCAACGAGAAUCAGCUCGAAGGAGCCCGGUUGGUUCAGCCUCGAGAGGCCAGUCACCGGUGAUGAAUUUCGCGCGAGAUCCUUGGCCGCGACGCAAGGUCUCGUUAAAGCCGGUAGCCGAGGGGCCCCGCGUGCGCUUUCGUCAUCGAUACACCAUCGAGACUGGAAAGGCAUUCGAUUUCUCUCGCGAGAGAGGCCGUGGUGUGUGUGACCUCUCCUUUCACGUGGGGCAGGUCGUGCCAGGGCCAGGUGCGACAACCUCGGCCGAAAACACCGACGCAGGCCGUCUACCUGCGUGGCUUCGCCCUCAGCUACCGGACGUUGCACCUUCACCCCUCUUCCCUUCUCGGUAUCCCUCCUCUGGUCGAAGUCGUCCUUUGUGAGGAGGAUGUUCGAGGCCUCGGUCGUGCACGACUUCGUCCAAUGGGGGGAAGAAAAAAAGGUAAAAGAAGGAAAAGUCGACACCGAGGUCGUUGGCAUCGUGAAACUGCCGUUCUACCCUUCUUGCUGAGGGGAGACGAUUAUGGCGGUGAGGAGAGAGAAAGAGAGAGAGACAGAGAGAAAGAGACAGACACACAGACAAGCAGACAGACAAACAGAGCGAGAAGGAGAAACUGCGCGGCCGAAAAAGAUGAGAGAUCUCUAGACACGGGUGGGUGGAAAGAUGCGAGUUUUGAAACUUCUCGACGAGAGGCUAGAUUUUGGGGGAAUACGUCGUUUCCUAUUUUUUUGAUUGGAUACGGUUGACGGAUUCUUACGAGGAUGUUAAUAGGAUUUGAUGCGAUAACGACCUGCGCUGUGACAGACAGUUCAAACUCGGGCUGCUGUUGUCAUUUGAAAGCGCGAUAGGUGUACGAGUAUUGGCUUGUUUUUAUGAUUCGAAGAUGACGGUUGCGUCGUGGAAAAAACAAAUACCGUUGUUGUUAAUAUCAUGUUAUCGAAAUAUACCGCGUGCAAAUUAUUAUGAUGAAAGUUGUUUGAAGGCGAAAAUGAAACGAAGUAUGGAAUGUGGAACGUCAAAGCCUACGUGCAUCACGGCAGGAACUCAAUCAGUCAACCAUUUCCGGGAUAUCGAUCAAAUACAAGAGGACCAUGAGACGUUUCCGCAACAUUGUACCGAGCACACGUACAUGCAUCGUUCUUUAUUAUAAAAUAGAAUACCGCAAAUAAAUUACCAUGAGGGAAGACGACCGCCGCAACGAUAUACAAACUCUUCUUACCUUGGAGCAUGCGUCGCGUCGUGAAAUUGCACGGGCAAGGAAACAAUUCAACGUUCAUUAUUCAGUCUUUAAAAGUCUUGCCGGACAGAUAUAUCCCCCUACGAAGUGCAGUCAAAGAGGUUUCAACGAACUAAGUUGUCUCAUGGCGGUCGUACCACGCCAUAAAAAUGAAAUUACGGUUUUGUAACGCUACAACGCGACUUGUUAUUUCACAGUUCUCGGUCCUAAAUCAUAAAAUCUACCGCUACACUUCUAACUAAGUAACUGUACAGUUUCGGCUACCUUCGUAUACGGCACGAGACACCUGGAAGGAUGCGCGGUUUAAUACCCUUGAGUCUCUUAAGGGUCGGAAAACAUUGUUAAAAAGAAUUUGCUUUAUGUCGUCGUAUAUUGUUUUUGGUAGCUUUCCUUCAUGAAGUCAUAUAUUUAUUUUAUUUCCAUUUUUAUGGGGGCAUAAAAACUUAAGUCUAGGUUCAUCGGUGACCUAUAACAGCAGCCAGAAAUAAAGUUUUCAUUAGCUUGGUAUAAAUACUCGCUGAUUUACCGGUUGGCAAGGGACGCGAAGGAAAGUAACAUUUUCAAGAAUUUGUCACGCUUGCUAUUUGCUUACGACGAAAUAAUCCGAACUCUCUCUUUAAGAUUCCUAAGCACGUUUCUAAAUGGAUCUAAGAAAUUUAAUCGAACCAUCGAAAUAUCCGAAGAUAUCUGGCUGGUUAACAUCAGUUCCUAAAAAUCUUCAUUUAAAAAGCGUCUAUUUGACAGAAACAAAAUCUCACUCACCACACUAAAGAAAUAAAUCAAUCAAAUUCGAAGAAGGUAUCCCACUGGGAGUAGCCAUCCACAUGUUAUAUUAUUAUACCAUUAAGCUAUAAUAUUUUACCAAAUGUCCUACUGAAUAAAUUGUAAAAUGUAAAUAAAUAAGUAAAAAAAAAAGAAACAAAAUUUUCACCAAUGUCAGCCCCGUGUCAAGACGAAACCUGUGAAACGCUGGAAUUUUUUAAAUCAUCGUUCGAUCCGCCGAGUCAUCGACCGCGUAACUUCUCGAAAUCAUUGAACAGGAAAAUCCUACAACUGACGAGUUGUUCGAGUUCUCGAAAUCAUCAGACGAACGAACCUAAAAACAGGACAACAUACCCUGCUAGACAAAAUCCCCGCCCCUCGUAAAGGUCAAAGCUCUCGCCCGCCUCCGUAGAAAUUCCGCGCUCGUCGAUCCCACGAAACGCGUUCCCCUCUGGCCAAAUCGCGACGGUUGGAUCGGAUUCCGGGACGUUUCACGAGGGUGAGAGCCGAAAGCACUUGGACGACUGCGUGCGGUGGAAAGGCGAGGGACAGGUGUCCGGCGAGGGUGCGUUCACGGUCUAACGAUUGGCAACCAGACGCCUUUUAACGCUCCCCUGGUGCAACGUGUGGGUGCGCGCAGCCUUUUUCGAACUAGCCGGAGAGAUACCUUCGAUUUUUAGGCGGAACACGCACACACAGAUCGAAUAUGGGGACAUGCACGCUCGUAUACAGGGUGAGGCACGCAAAGCACGACGAUAGAAUCUUUCAGAGAAUAUUAAAAACGCCGGAAAGUGUUAUUAGACGAGGUUGAAACCUAUUAGGCGAUUGAUCGUUGUUUAAAGUUUAUUCUCAAGAACGUGAAUGCACGAUAUAAAAAAUUGUUCGCUAGUAAAGCCGAGGUGUUUUACGAAGCCUGAUAUUUCUACGCUAUGCAAAAACAUUCGGAAGAUUUUUAAAUCGCUGAUUCUUUCGCGAACCUUUUUGUACAGUUUUAAAUGUGCAUAAGCGUAAUGUAUUAAGUUGCCGCAAAAGUUUCUUUCGUUUCAUAAGUGAAAUAAUAGAUGCACAACAUUUUUUAUUUUAUAUUCUUUCAUGGAUUUAUGUACGAUCCAUUUUGUAAUAAUAGAAUAAACCGGAUCUAACGUAGUUCAAUAAAAUAAUAUAAAACAAAAAAUGUUCUGCAUCUACUACUUCCUUAUAAAACGAAAUCAACUUUUGGGACAACCUAAUAUAUUCUAAACGUAAUUGAACGACUACAAUUUCUCUGAAAUAUUAACAUAAUCAAAAAUAUACGAAGAACAUGUGAAUUGAACGUAUACAUGUAUUUUUUGAUUGCUUUUUUCUCACCUGUAUUCUUGAAUGAUUUUGAAUAUUUCAUUGAAUUCGUUCGCAUACACAUUCACGCGGUUUCUAGUAUGGUUGUAGCUAUGUAUUUUCGUGAUCAAUUUUUUAGGAGGACAUAAUCUAACAUACAAACACUCACCACACUAAAGAAAUAAAUCAAUCAAAUUCGAAGAUGGUAUCCCAUUGGGGAUAGCCAUCCACAUGUUAUAUUAUUAUGCCACUAAGCUAUAAUAUUUUACCAAAUGUCCUACUGGACAAAUUGUAAAAUGUAAAUAAAUAAAUAAAUAAAUAAAUAAAAAAAAAAUUUUAGGACAGCGAUCUUGAAAUCUUCUUCACCCUAAAAAAUUGUUCCCUUAAAGAACUUUAACUUCGUUUGCCGAUAUUUUUCCACGUUACCGAUACCGCCAAAAAUGUCUAACCGUUGCUCUUUGCACGACUCACCCUGUAUAUACGUAUGUAUGGGUGUGGUAUGUGUCUACGUGUGCGUGCACGCAGGCUCACACGAACCCACGCUAAUCUAGCGUGGAAGGGUCCGAACGAACAUCCAGAAUUUUUCGAAGGGAAAAUUUCGCGUUCGGUUACGACAAUAGACGUAUAUCGUCUUCACGAUCUUCUCGCGGUCACGUUGCAAUUUUCGUUUCUUUGCUUUAAAAGCAAUUUUUCGAAACUUCUUAAUGAUCGUGGAUCACUUUGUACUUUUACGUCCAAAAAUACCAAUGAUGCUUGAAG